This 60-nucleotide transfer RNA is filed under the name Acinetobacter baumannii UH10707. RNAcentral's name for it is "tRNA-Ala". It matches the Rfam family "tRNA", at positions 1 to 58 of the family's 71-position model. Rfam says of the family: Transfer RNA (tRNA) molecules are approximately 80 nucleotides in length. Their secondary structure includes four short double-helical elements and three loops (D, anti-codon, and T loops). Lineage: Bacteria; Pseudomonadati; Pseudomonadota; Gammaproteobacteria; Moraxellales; Moraxellaceae. The record is from RNAcentral.
GGGGACUUAGCUUAGUUGGUAGAGCGCCUGCUUUGCACGCAGGAGGUCAGGAGUUCGACU